Molecule: long non-coding RNA, 153 nt
Organism: Gopherus evgoodei (Goodes thornscrub tortoise)
Lineage: Eukaryota; Metazoa; Chordata; Testudines; Testudinidae
Exons: 2
Source: RefSeq, a predicted model, not a curated record
UUCUGUUUCCAAGUUGUAAGGACAAAGAGAUCAAAUAGGCAAAAUAUGUGGCCAGAAGAGAUGCAGAAGAGCAGAUAUGCUACUCUGUACAAAUGCUGAUAGUAAAAUGUCUACUACACUGUCUGAGGAAUUACAUCUCUCUUUCCAGAUUCA